This 253-nucleotide ribosomal RNA is filed under the name uncultured bacterium. RNAcentral's name for it is "partial 16S ribosomal RNA". It matches the Rfam family "Bacterial small subunit ribosomal RNA", at positions 524 to 776 of the family's 1533-position model. The record is from RNAcentral.
UACAGGGGGUGCAAACGUUGCUCGGAAUUAUUGGGCGUAAAGCGCGCGUAGGCGGAUUGUUAAGUCAGGGGUGAAAUCCUGGAGCUCAACUCCAGAACUGCCUUUGAUACUGGCGAUCUUGAGUCCGGGAGAGGUGAGUGGAACUGCGAGUGUAGAGGUGAAAUUCGUAGAUAUCGGGAGGAACACCGGUGGCGAAGGCGGCGACCUGGGUAGAUACUGACGCUGAGGUGCGAAAGCGUGGGGAGCAAACAGG